This 447-nucleotide ribosomal RNA is filed under the name uncultured bacterium. Its description in RNAcentral is "bacterial SSU rRNA". It matches the Rfam family "Bacterial small subunit ribosomal RNA", at positions 329 to 793 of the family's 1533-position model. The record is from RNAcentral.
GGCCAGACUCCUACGGGAGGCAGCAGUGGGGAAUAUUGCACAAUGGGGGAAACCCUGAUGCAGCGACGCCGCGUGAGUGAGGAAGUAUUUCGGUAUGUAAAGCUCUAUCAGCAGGGAAGAAAAUGACGGUACCUGACUAAGAAGCCCCGGCUAACUACGUGCCAGCAGCCGCGGUAAUACGUAGGGGGCAAGCGUUAUCCGGAUUUACUGGGUGUAAAGGGAGCGUAGACGGAAUUGCAAGUCUGAUGUGAAAAUCCGGGGCCCAACCCCGGAACUGCAUUGGAAACUGUAUUUCUAGAGUGUCGGAGAGGCAAGUGGAAUUCCUGGUGUAGCGGUGAAAUGCGUAGAUAUCAGGAGGAACACCAGUGGCGAAGGCGGCCUGCUGGACGAUGACUGACGUUGAGGCUCGAAGGCGUGGGGAGCAAACAGGAUUAGAUACCCUGGUAC